GUUGUUUAUUAGUGCUUGGUUGUUAUUCUAUUCAAAGUUAGCAGUAAAUUUCUGCCUUAUUAUUUUAACUUCUCUUUGGUCACUGUAUGUUGUCCAAUACUAUUUCUACUGGAGAAAAAACAAUAAAAAUCCAGUUUUGUUGUUGUAAAGGAUAUUUUAUGACUUAAUUUUUGUCAAAAGAUAAAUACACCUUCUUAAAAAAAAAAAAAAAAAAGAAUAAAAAAAAUGAUAACUAUAGAAAUAGAAGAAUUAUCAAAAAGAAAAGAAAAGUAUAUGUCAUUUUAUAGUACCAGUAUAUUGGCCUAGUUUUAAUCUAAUAAUGAAUAUGCUUUUACCUUUUAAAGCAAAAAGAAAGAAUAUUGUUUUGUUAAGAUUAUUUACUGCUGAGUAUAUGUUUGACAUUUUUCUAGAAAAACAAGAUUACAUCAAAAUUCAUUAAUAACAUUCAAAUAUCAAAAGUGUUUGACACGAUGAUCUCUAUAGGAUAUAGAGUGAAUGAGUUUUUUUCCCUUUUAAAGGAAUUAUAUUACAUCCAUUUUAAAUAUACCUAGUUGCUUUCGUAAGAUAGAUAGGAAAACAGGAUGCCUAUAGAAAUUCCUAAAACAUGCAAUGAAAUUAAUCUUUUUUUUACGUAUAGUUAUGAAACCAUUUGGGAAUGUAUUUUCUCUAAAUCCCUGUAUUAUAACAUGCACCAAUUUUCUGUUUUAUGUAUAUGUGAAGUUUUCAUGAACACAAAAAAUGUUUAUAUAUAUAUAUAACCCUGUAUAGAUGUAUUAUCUAUUGGUUCUGCUUCAUCAAAAAGUGGCUGUGUUAAACUGAAAUAGGAAAACAAUGAUCUGUGAUAGUCUGCUGCCAAAGGGAGAUAAUUGUUGUUUUAUGUAAAAAGUCAUAAAAAAAGUGAAAAAAAAAAAAUGAUAAAAAAUACAAGUAAAAAUAAGAUUGAUAUACUAUAAAAGAUUGAUAAAAUAAAAAUAAAGAAUGAGAAAAAAGAUACAAUAUCUAACAUGGAAAUAAAAUUCACAAAUAAGUGUAUAAUUAACAUAAUAAAAAUAUUAGUGGAACCAAAUUUAAGGGACUGCCUUAUUAUGAAAAAUCAAGACUUUUUUUGCUGCUAAUAGAGAAUUUCAAAUUUUGUCGAUACAUUCCUUGGAGGUUAUAGACAUGUUUGUUAGACAGACUGACUGUAAAUAAAUAGCAAAUUGUCAAAUUGAAAGAAAUUUGAUUUAUAUAAACUACUCUGCCUCAUGUCAAUAGAUUUUAAAGCGGUUCAAAUGAACAAAACAAAAAUGGUAUCAAUGAAAUUUAUAUGCAACAAAAAAAUGAAAAUGACUUUUUAUGAUAAUAAUGAUUACUCCCUUCAAGCAGAAGAUUCUGUUUCAGUCAUACUCUGUAUGGAGAUGACUGGCUCAUCGGGAGCUGUGAUUUAUAAGUACACUUGUACCCCCACACAUGUUUCAUGUUUAUUUUGCACUAUUUGUCAAAUUUCUGUUUGAUUCACAAGCAGUGUAUUGUAAUUGGUGUAUAUCCUUAACCUUAUCCAAACUUUGGAAAGAAGAAAUAUUUAAUAUAAGUUUAAUUCAAAUAUAGAGAUACAUUUAUUAGAUUAUAGAUUAAUAAUAUUUAAAAAAAAAUUGGAUAGAAUUGUAGUAUGGUUAUAAGGUUAAGAUUAUUAUUCAUGGGAGGGUAUUUUAAUCAAGACUUUUAAAAUCAUUUUGUAUGAAUUUUAAUUACAUUUCUAAAAUUAUUUUUAAAACACUAUUAGACCUUUAUAAUACGGUAAAUAAAACAAAGAUGUUAAAUGUAAUGUUCACUUUUAUAUCUUUUAUUUCUUCACAACUAUCAAAUAUUAAUCAUCUUUUUAUCAUAUCUCAUUAUUAACACGUCAUUGUAUAAGAAU
RNAcentral lists this long non-coding RNA (1897 nucleotides) under Mytilus galloprovincialis (Mediterranean mussel). The record is from RNAcentral. Lineage: Eukaryota; Metazoa; Mollusca; Bivalvia; Mytilida; Mytilidae.